UUGGGUUGAGAGAAUGUUAAACGUGAUGAGCAUUGUUUACUCAUCAAGAGGACCUACAGCUGCAAUUGAGGAGGACGUGCUUUCACAUGGAUUAAUUCAGCUGACGUUUCAUAGUGAUUUUGGUUAAGGGUUUCUCUGAGUCGGGCUGGCGACCUUAAAACUAGCGUUGCAUGGGAGGCAACCCAUGUUGUUCUUCUUAGUUUGUUUUUCGUUUCUUUUUGUUAUGUUUUUCUUGUUCUUUGCUUUUCGUUUUUCGUGUUUCCUUGUUUUUUUUUGGUUGCAUGUUCGGUUUCUUUGAUUCUGGGUGUUAAUGUUUUUAUUUCCAGCGUUGCAAUUCUACUCUGACUUUGCCGCCAGCGUUGAAGAAUGCCAGCUCUGAAAAGUCCAGAUCCAGACCUGAAAUUCCACUCUGAAAAGGACCAGCGCUGACAUUUCUACUCUGCCGAAGGCCGCAAACCCUACUUUUCGCCGCCCCUCAUAGCACUUCGGUCUUUCAUUGCCAAUGAUCAG
RNAcentral lists this long non-coding RNA (510 nucleotides) under Salvia miltiorrhiza (redroot sage). RNAcentral describes it as "long non-coding RNA (SMIL_LNC008817)". Lineage: Eukaryota; Viridiplantae; Streptophyta; Magnoliopsida; Lamiales; Lamiaceae. The record is from RNAcentral.